This is a non-coding RNA of Podospora pseudopauciseta, 132 nucleotides long. The record is from the annotation of a RefSeq genome assembly. NCBI's taxonomy places the organism in Eukaryota, Fungi, Ascomycota, Sordariomycetes, Sordariales, Podosporaceae.
GGCCAGAUGGCCGAGCGGUCUAAGGCGCCACGUUAAGGUGAAAAUCUUGAUAUCAAUUAACUCCACAUUCGCUAGGAUGUGAGAAGUUCCGUGGUCUCGUAAGGGGCGUGAGUUCGAAUCUCACUCUGGUCA